Molecule: ribosomal RNA, 447 nt
Filed under: uncultured bacterium
Lineage: Bacteria
Description: partial 16S ribosomal RNA
Rfam family: Bacterial small subunit ribosomal RNA
Source: RNAcentral
AACGAACGCUGGCGGCAGGCUUAACACAUGCAAGUCGAACGCCCCGCAAGGGGAGUGGCAGACGGGUGAGUAACGCGUGGGAAUCUACCCAGAUCUACGGAACAACAGAGGGAAACCUCUGCUAAUACCGUAUACGCCCUACGGGGGAAAGAUUUAUCGGAUUUGGAUGAGCCUGCGUAAGAUUAGCUAGUUGGUGGGGUAAUGGCCUACCAAGGCGACGAUCUUUAGCUGGUCUGAGAGGAUGAUCAGCCACACUGGGACUGAGACACGGCCCAGACUCCUACGGGAGGCAGCAGUGGGGAAUAUUGGACAAUGGGCGCAAGCCUGAUCCAGCCAUGCCGCGUGAGUGAUGAAGGCCUUAGGGUUGUAAAGCUCUUUCACCGAUGAAGAUAAUGACGGUAGUCGGAGAAGAAGCCCCGGCUAACUUCGUGCCAGCCGCCGCCGUAA